RNAcentral lists this ribosomal RNA (543 nucleotides) under uncultured bacterium. RNAcentral describes it as "partial 16S ribosomal RNA". It matches the Rfam family "Bacterial small subunit ribosomal RNA", at positions 355 to 895 of the family's 1533-position model. The record is from RNAcentral.
UGGGGAAUUUUGGACAAUGGGCGAAAGCCUGAUCCAGCAAUGCCGCGUGUGUGAAGAAGGCCUUCGGGUUGUAAAGCACUUUUGUCCGGAAAGAAAUCCUUGGCUCUAAUACAGUCGGGGGAUGACGGUACCGGAAGAAUAAGCACCGGCUAACUACGUGCCAGCAGCCGCGGUAAUACGUAGGGUGCAAGCGUUAAUCGGAAUUACUGGGCGUAAAGCGUGCGCAGGCGGUUUGCUAAGACCGAUGUGAAAUCCCCGGGCUCAACCUGGGAACUGCAUUGGUGACUGGCAGGCUAGAGUAUGGCAGAGGGGGGUAGAAUUCCACGUGUAGCAGUGAAAUGCGUAGAGAUGUGGAGGAAUACCGAUGGCGAAGGCAGCCCCCUGGGCCAAUACUGACGCUCAUGCACGAAAGCGUGGGGAGCAAACAGGAUUAGAUACCCUGGUAGUCCACGCCCUAAACGAUGUCACUAGUUGUUGGGGAUUCAUUCUAGUAACGUAGCUAACGCGUGAAGUUGACCGCCUGGGGAGUACGGUCGCAAGAUU